GGAUGUGAGGGUGAUCUGGCUGUGCCAUCUGUCACCCCAUUGAUCGCCAGGGUUGAUUUGGCAGAUCUGGCUGGCUAGGCGGGUGUCCCUUUCCUCCAUCACCGCUCCACGUGCGUCCCUCCCAAAGCUGCGCGCUCGGUGGAAGAGGAGGACCUUCCCUGACAGAAGAGGACCGUUCUUCUCGGUCAAGGGUGUACGAGUAGCUGCGCUCCCCUACUAGAGCCUCCAACAAGCUCUCAAAAAGCGGCUCCACUAGUGGACAGCCAAGAUCAGCUGACCCUGGCACAGGUCAUGCGACCCGCGGAUUCUUUGU
RNAcentral lists this small nuclear RNA (313 nucleotides) under Camelus bactrianus (Bactrian camel). RNAcentral describes it as "7SK RNA". It matches the Rfam family "7SK RNA". Rfam says of the family: 7SK was discovered as an abundant small nuclear RNA in the mid-70s but a possible function has only recently been suggested. RNAcentral also lists the same sequence under 1 other name. The record is from Rfam by way of RNAcentral. Lineage: Eukaryota; Metazoa; Chordata; Mammalia; Artiodactyla; Camelidae.